UAAUACGGAGGGUGCGAGCGUUAAUCGGAAUUACUGGGCGUAAAGCGUACGCAGGCGGUUUGUUAAGCGAGAUGUGAAAGCCCCGGGCUCAACCUGGGAACUGCAUUUCGAACUGGCAAACUAGAGUAUGAUAGAGGGUGGUAGAAUUUCAGGUGUAGCGGUGAAAUGCGUAGAGAUCUGAAGGAAUACCGAUGGCGAAGGCAGCCACCUGGGUCAAUACUGACGCUCAUGUACGAAAGCGUGGGGAGCAAACGGGAUUAGAUACCCCGGUAGUCCACGCCGUAAACGAUGUCUACUAGGAGCUGGAGUCUUCGGACGACUUUUCCAAAGCUAACGCAUUAAGUAGACCGCCUGGGGAGUACGGCCGCAAGGUUAAAACUCAAAUGAAUUGACGGGGGCCCGCACAAGCGGUGGAGCAUGUGGUUUAAUUCGAUGCAACGCGAAGAACCUUACCUACACUUGACAUACAGAGAACUUACCAGAGAUGGUUUGGUGCCUUCGGGAACUCUGAUACAGGUGCUGCAUGGCUGUCGUCAGCUCGUGUUGUGAGAUGUUGGGUUAAGUCCCGCAACGAGCGCAACCCCUAUCCUUAGUUGCCAGCGAUUCGGUCGGGAACUCUAAGGAGACUGCCGGUGAUAAACCGGAGGAAGGUGGGGACGACGUCAAGUCAUCAUGGCCCUUACGUGUAGGGCUACACACGUGCUACAAUGGCGUAUACAGAGUGCUGCGAACUUGCGAGAGUAAGCGAAUCACUUAAAGUACGUCGUAGUCCGGAUUGGAGUCUGCAACUCGACUCCAUGAGGUCGGAAUCGCUAGUAAUCGCGGAUCAGAAUGCCGCGGUGAAUACGUUCCCGGGCCUUGUACACACCGCCCGUCACACCAUGGGAGUGGGUUGCUCCAGAAGUAGGUAGCUUAACCUUAGGGAGGGCGCUUACCACGGAGUGAUUCAUGACUGGGGUGAAGUCGUAACAAGGUAGCCG
Molecule: ribosomal RNA, 980 nt
Filed under: uncultured bacterium
Lineage: Bacteria
Description: bacterial SSU rRNA
Rfam family: Bacterial small subunit ribosomal RNA
Source: RNAcentral